This 543-nucleotide ribosomal RNA is filed under the name Pleuronectes platessa (European plaice). Its description in RNAcentral is "partial small subunit ribosomal RNA". It matches the Rfam family "Bacterial small subunit ribosomal RNA", at positions 7 to 930 of the family's 1533-position model. Lineage: Eukaryota; Metazoa; Chordata; Actinopteri; Pleuronectiformes; Pleuronectidae. The record is from RNAcentral.
CAAAGGCUUGGUCCUGACUUUACUGUCGACUUUAACUAAACUUACACAUGCAAGUAUCCGCCCCCCUGUGAGAAUGCCCACAACUCCCUGCUUGGGAACUAGGAGCCGGUAUCAGGCACAAGCCCAGCUAGCCCACGACGCCUUGCUUAGCCACACCCUCAAGGGACCUCAGCAGUGAUAAAUAUUAAGCCAUAAGUGAAAACUUGACUUAGUUAAGGUUAAGAGGGCCGGUAAAACUCGUGCCAGCCACCGCGGUUAUACGAGAGGCCCAAGUUGACAAACAACGGCGUAAAGAGUGGUUAGGGAAUUUACUAAACUAGAGCCGAACGCUUUCAAAGCUGUUAUACGCACCCGAAAGUAUGAAACCCAAUUACGAAAGUAGCUCUACCUAUCCUGAACCCACGAAAGCUAAGGAACAAACUGGGAUUAGAUACCCCACUAUGCUUAGCCCUAAACAUCGAUUGCACCAUACACUCCAUAUCCGCCCGGGAAUUAUGAACGUCAGUUUAAAACCCAAAGGACUUGGCGGUGCUUAACAUCCAC